AAGAGGAUUAGAUACCCUCGUAGUCCAUGCCGUAAACGAUGUGUGUUAGACGUUGGAAAUUUAUUUUCAGUGUCGCAGCGAAAGCGAUAAACACACCGCCUGGGGAGUACGACCGCAAGGUUAAAACUCAAAUGAAUUGACGGGGACCCGCACAAGUAGUGGAGCAUGUGGUUUAAUUCGAAGAUACGCGCAGAACCUUACCAACACUUGACAUGUUCGUCGCGACUUUAAGAGAUUAAAGUUUUCGGUUCGGCCGGACGAAACACAGGUGCUGCAUGGCUGUCGUCAGCUCGUGUCGUGAGAUGUUGGGUUAAGUCCCGCAACGAGCGCAACCCUCACUUUUAGUUGCCAUCAUUUAGUUGGGCACUCUGAAAGAACUGCCAGUGAUAAGCUGGAGGAAGGUGGGGAUGACGUCAAGUCCUCAUGGCCCUUACGUGUUGGGCUACACACGUGCUACAAUGGUAUCUACAACAGGAAGCAAAACGGCGACGUUAAGCAAAUCCUUAAAAGAUACCUCAGUUCGGAUUGCACUCUGCAACUCGAGUGCAUGAAGCUGGAAUUACUAGUAAUCGUGGAUCAGCGUGCCACGGUGAAUGCGUUCCCGGGUCUUGUACACACCGCCCGUCACACCAUGGGAGUUGGUUCUACCUUAAGGCAAGGUUUAAAACCCUUGACCACGGUAUAGUCAGCGACUGGGGUGAAGUCGUAACAAGGUAACCGUA
RNAcentral lists this ribosomal RNA (722 nucleotides) under uncultured bacterium. Its description in RNAcentral is "bacterial SSU rRNA". It matches the Rfam family "Bacterial small subunit ribosomal RNA", at positions 771 to 1504 of the family's 1533-position model. The record is from RNAcentral.